RNAcentral lists this ribosomal RNA (497 nucleotides) under uncultured bacterium. RNAcentral describes it as "bacterial SSU rRNA". It matches the Rfam family "Bacterial small subunit ribosomal RNA", at positions 899 to 1397 of the family's 1533-position model. The record is from RNAcentral.
ACUCAAAGGAAUUGACGGGGGCCCGCACAAGCAGCGGAGCAUGUUGCUUAAUUCGAGGCAACGCGAAGAACCUUACCUGGGUUUGACAUGUAGAGAAAAGCCACAGAGAUGUGGUGUCCUUCGGGGUUCUACACAGGUGGUGCAUGGUUGUCGUCAGCUCGUGUCGUGAGAUGUUGGGUUAAGUCCCGCAACGAGCGCAACCCUUGUCCUAUGUUGCCAGCACGUAAUGGUGGGGACUCGUAGGAGACUGCCGGGGUCAACUCGGAGGAAGGUGGGGAUGACGUCAAAUCAUCAUGCCCCUUAUAUCCAGGGCUGCAAACAUGCUACAAUGGCCGGUACAAAGGGCUGCUAAACCGCGAGGUGGAGCGAAUCCCAUAAAGCCGGUCUCAGUUCGGAUUGGAGUCUGCAACUCGACUCCAUGAAGCUGGAGUUGCUAGUAAUCCCGGAUCAGCAACGCCGGGGUGAAUACGUUCCCGGGCCUUGUACACACCGCCCGU